UGGAAUUUAACACGACCACUGUAGGAAGAAUAAAAAUGUCAGAAUAUACAUAUAUAUUUUGCAUUUUCAAUGUACCAACUCUAAAGUCUAAACAACAGUGCCAUUUAGUGAUGGAUUUUCAACAUUAUGCAUUUAGCACCACCAUUAGAUGCUUAAUUUAACACAUUAUGAAAAAAGCAGCGCAAUUGGGAUAAUAGAAUGCAAAGCAACACUGCAUAAAUUAUACCAAAAAAUCAGAACUUCCUGACCAAGUUAAAACUUCUUAAUAGGACUCAACCACACAAAUCUAACCAGCUAUGGCAUGUAUUAAAACAAUGAAUACAAGAUUAGUGUUAUUAAAGGCGAUAAGAGGCGCUAGGCGAGGCGCCAGGAG
Molecule: unclassified non-coding RNA, 373 nt
Filed under: Hevea brasiliensis (rubber tree)
Lineage: Eukaryota; Viridiplantae; Streptophyta; Magnoliopsida; Malpighiales; Euphorbiaceae
Source: RNAcentral